Molecule: long non-coding RNA, 836 nt
Filed under: Prunus dulcis (almond)
Lineage: Eukaryota; Viridiplantae; Streptophyta; Magnoliopsida; Rosales; Rosaceae
Description: sRNA ncRNA
Source: RNAcentral
CUCGUUAAAACCUUCCUAGGACAAGAAUCCAAGGAGAGGAAAGAGUACCACACAUGUCAUGGACUAACAGGAGAGUCCAAUUCAGAUCACUUUGGACCAUUACAAUAAAAAAAACAAGUCAAAAACAAAACCUACCACAAAAACCUCCGACGAGAACCGCAAUUAGAGACCAACACAGUAGAUCCACAUAAGAGAACCGUAGAAACCCCAAAUAGUAAACCCACAGGAGAGGACCACAAAACAUCCCAAUUGUCAAAAGAAGCCUUCUAUGAGCAAAAUCAUAGUAUUUUGAUACUCAUACAAACUGUAAGUCAUACCUUAGCAUAAACCAAGAGAGAACAUGAAGGACGAACAUAGAAACAACUGUAAAAAAGACCCAUGAGAAGCACUCCACUUCAACUCAGAACUUGACAAAGAAAACCUCCUAUGAUCAAGCAUAGUUCUUCGGUUGGCGCAGAAUAGAGAAGAGCACCAUAUCCCAACAACUACCACCAGUGUAGCUGCCGCCGCCGCCGUUAAAACAGAGACAAAACAUCAACCACCAAGUAUCACAACUCUUCUAAGGAGAGACACAAUCCAACGUCACUAUUAUCGCCGCCUCCGAGACAAAGACAACACCAGUCACUUGGAACACUGCAAAAACAACAAAACAAAACAAAUAGACAAACAUACCUAGAUCCAAACAGAUCUAGAUUAUCUGGGGAGGGGAAUGGGAGGAGAAGAGGGGAUAAGAGGAAAGGAAAAUAUGGGAGAAAAAGAAGGGGAGAUGAGGAGAGGAAGGGGAAGAUGGGCUGAGGGGAGGAGAGGCAGUGGCCACCUCCCCCCCCUUAGCUUCC